This 69-nucleotide transfer RNA is filed under the name Marmota monax (woodchuck). It matches the Rfam family "tRNA". Rfam says of the family: Transfer RNA (tRNA) molecules are approximately 80 nucleotides in length. Lineage: Eukaryota; Metazoa; Chordata; Mammalia; Rodentia; Sciuridae. The record is from Rfam by way of RNAcentral.
GGAGUUGUGGCUCAGUGGUAUAGCACAUGCCUAACAUGUGUGAGGCACUGGGUUUGAUUCUCAGCACCA